Molecule: long non-coding RNA, 881 nt
Organism: Drosophila pseudoobscura
Lineage: Eukaryota; Metazoa; Arthropoda; Insecta; Diptera; Drosophilidae
Exons: 2
Source: RefSeq, a predicted model, not a curated record
GCUGCAAUGGGAACAGAACAGAACAGAGCAGAACAGAAUGAGAGAUUACCCAGCAGCCACGACCAAGAGCUACUAUCAUGAUGACUAAUCGUUGAUGGAUGUAUGUGGGGUAUGGGUCUCUAUGUGGAUGUGUUUUGCCCAGAUAAGGCACACGCCCCUAAUCGUAUUUCCUUGGCACUUCAGUUUCGCAAUCUCUCCUAUACACUCGAAACAAAUUGCAAUCUUGGCUUCUCUAGUAACUGCAGCCGAAAGGAAUGUAAGCUGCAAAGCAUUGAUAUUAAGUGAACCCGGAAAGACCACUUUAUAGGGGGGAUCGGCAACCCUGGAUGGGAAGGAUUGUAAAACCUGAUCUACAGAUGGAGAAAGAAGUUCCAUUCCUCCAUACCUUCCCAAAGAAGGCCACUCGGGACUUUGUAGCUGUGAUGGACGGAUCUUCCAUGCCACAGCGGUCUUUCUUCCAAUGUGUUGUAUUCCUAGAUAUUCUUAGCUGAUUCUUCUGUUUCUUAGCAUACCCGGAAAGCGCACUUGAUAGGGGUUCUGCAACUAUAAAUCUGAAGACCUUAUCCUGUUUUUAAAAUUUGUUAAAGACAAAGCUCCGACACAGAAACGAUGUCAACAAAUAUAGAGAAGCAAAAAGGAAGGGGGGAACGGAAGUCCCUUGAAAGUAUGAUUUUUUGAUAAGAUAUAUAUGUAUCUUAUUAUAGUGUCAGAACCCCUAUCUGCAUAUCUGCUAUCCAAUUUGGGUGUUGUUUUUUUUACCGAAUAGUAUAUAAAAUGCUUUGUUGAUAAACAUUUUCCCGACUGUUGAUUAACAAAUGAUUAAAUGCCCAUUCCUAUCCUUCAGAGUGACUGCAAACAUCAGCCACAACAACCACUCCCAA